RNAcentral lists this transfer RNA (75 nucleotides) under Thermoplasmata archaeon. RNAcentral describes it as "tRNA-Arg". It matches the Rfam family "tRNA". Rfam says of the family: Transfer RNA (tRNA) molecules are approximately 80 nucleotides in length. Their secondary structure includes four short double-helical elements and three loops (D, anti-codon, and T loops). RNAcentral also lists the same sequence under 1 other name. The record is from RNAcentral. Lineage: Archaea; Methanobacteriati; Thermoplasmatota; Thermoplasmata.
GGGCGCGUAGCAUAGCCCGGACGAUGCGCCGGCCUUCUAAGCCGGAGAACCGGGGUUCGAAUCCCCGCGCGCCCG